Molecule: long non-coding RNA, 1642 nt
Filed under: Sus scrofa (pig)
Lineage: Eukaryota; Metazoa; Chordata; Mammalia; Artiodactyla; Suidae
Description: lncRNA (ENSSSCG00025038448.1)
Source: RNAcentral
CUCCCCAGGGACCACCGAAACAGUCUCCACGACCACCGGUGUGACAGGUGCCCCCUCCACGGCGACCACCCAGAGGGUCACGACUCCCAGCACUGCGACAGGUGUCCCCUCCACCGCGACCAGCCAGAUUGUCACCACCCCCAGCACUGUGACAGGUGCCCCCUCCACGGCGACCACCCAGAGUGUCACGACUCCCACCACUGUGACAGGAGCCCCCUCCACCGCGACAAGACAGAGUGUCACCACCCCAAGCACUGCGACAGGUGCCCCCUCCACUGCGACCACCCAGAGGGUCACGACUCCCACCACUGCGACAGGUGCCCCCUCCACGGUGACCCCCCAAAGUGUCACGACUCCCACCACUGUGACAGGUGCCCCCUCCCCGGCGACCACCCAGAGGGUCACGACUCCCACCACUGUGACAGGUGCCCCCUCCACCGCGACCAGACAGAGUGUCACCACCCCCAGCACUGCGACAGGUGCCCCCUCCACUGCGACAACCCAGAGGGUCACGACUCCCAGCACUGCGACAGGUGUCCCCUCCACCGCGACCAGCCAGAUUGUCACCACCCCCAGCACUGUGACAGGUGCCCCCUCCACGGCGACCCCCCAAAGUGUCACGACUCCCACCACUGUGACAGGUGCCCCCUCCACGGCGACCACUCAGAGUGUCACGACUCCCAGCACUGUGACAGGUGCCCCCUCCCCAGGGACUACCGAGUCGAUCUCCACGCCCACCACUGUGACAGGUGUCCCCUCAACGGCGAUCCCCCAGAGUGUCACGACUCCCAGCACUGUGACAGGUGUCCCCUCCACGGCGACCACCCAGAGGGUCACGACUCCCACUACUGCGACAGGUGCCCCCUCCACUGAGACCACCCAGAGGGUCACGACUCCCACCACUGUGAUGGGUGCCCCCUCCACUGCGACCCCCCAGAGUGUCACCACCCCCACCACUGUGACAGGUCCCUCCUCUCCAGGGUCCACCGAGUCGGUCUCCACCCACACCACUGUGACAGGUCCCCCCUCCCCUGGUACCACACGGAGCGUCACCACCCCCAGCAGUGUGACCCGUCUCCUGUCAACUGGGACCACCCGGACAUUUGCUGUUCUCAUUCCCUCCACCUUCCCAGGGUCCCUGUCCACGACCCUCAAACCAGGCUUGCCCAGUGUAUCGCCCACUAGUUUGCUCUCGACCCCCUCCCUGCGGACCCGUCCUGCCUCCCCAGGCACUGUGCCCUCCUCUUCUCCGGAGACUGCCAGCAGCCUGACCCCCUUCUCGGUGCCCACCGUCUCCCCCGGAUCGCCUGGCCCCACCACGCCCUCCUGCCUCUGCCGCGCCUACGGAGAGUUCUUCCGACCCGGUGCGUGAGCAGCCUGGCCCCUCCUCCACACCCAGCCCCGACACUGGAUUCCGGCGGGCAGUGUCCCGGGGCCAGGGUCCUUGACCUGCGCUGGUUUGCCCUCCUGGCCCCCUGCCCCGCUGACCUGUGUGUCUCUGGCUUUGUAGGCGACGUCGUGUACAACAAGACCGACGGCGCGGGCUGCCAGUUCUUAGCUGUCUGCAACGAGCACUGUGACAUCGACCGCCUCCAGGGCACCUGCCCCACCUCCGCACCCCCCGAGUCCUCGCCCCCCGCUC